GACGAACGCUGGCGGCGUGCUUAACACAUGCAAGUCGAACGGGAGUAUUGAAGAAGCUUGCUUUAGAGAUACUUUAGUGGCGGACGGGUGAGUAACGCGUGAGGAGCUGUCCUAUGCAGGGGGACAACAGCUGGAAACGGCUGCUAAUACCCCAUAAGCCGAGAGGUAAAAGGAUCAAUCCGGCAGAGGAGGUACUCGCGUCCUAUCAGCUAGUAGGUGAGGUAACGGCUCACCUAGGCGAAGACGGGUAGCCGGCCUGAGAGGGCGAACGGCCACACUGGAACUGAGAUACGGUCCAGACUCCUACGGGAGGCAGCAGUGGGGAAUAUUGGGCAAUGGGGGAAACCCUGACCCAGCGACGCCGCGUGGGUGAAGAAAUCCUUCGGGAUGUAAAGCCCUGUUGUAUGGGAAGAGCGGAAGACGGUACCAUACGAGGAAGCCCCGGCAAACUACGUGC
This 457-nucleotide ribosomal RNA is filed under the name uncultured bacterium. RNAcentral describes it as "bacterial SSU rRNA". It matches the Rfam family "Bacterial small subunit ribosomal RNA", at positions 28 to 508 of the family's 1533-position model. The record is from RNAcentral.